This 253-nucleotide ribosomal RNA is filed under the name uncultured bacterium. Its description in RNAcentral is "partial 16S ribosomal RNA". It matches the Rfam family "Bacterial small subunit ribosomal RNA", at positions 524 to 776 of the family's 1533-position model. The record is from RNAcentral.
UACGUAGGGUGCGAGCGUUAAUCGGAAUUACUGGGCGUAAAGCGUGCGCAGGCGGUUCGUCGUGUCCGAUGUGAAAGCCCCGGGCUCAACCUGGGAAUGGCAUUGGAAACUGGCGGGCUUGAGUGUGGCAGAGGGGGGUGGAAUUCCGCGUGUAGCAGUGAAAUGCGUAGAUAUCUGGAGGAACACCGGUGGCGAAGGCGGCAUCCUGGACCGGUAUUGACGCUGAGGUGCGAAAGCCAGGGGAGCAAACGGG